Long non-coding RNA from Oncorhynchus kisutch (coho salmon), 1441 nucleotides. RefSeq lists it as uncharacterized. The transcript is spliced from 4 exons. NCBI's taxonomy places the organism in Eukaryota, Metazoa, Chordata, Actinopteri, Salmoniformes, Salmonidae. The record is from RefSeq and is a predicted model, not a curated record.
CUAGGGUUGCUCUUUUAAGGGUGGGAGUGUUACGGAUACAAGCAUCCUGUGUGUGUAUCCUGUGUGUGUGUUUCUUUUCUCUCCUUCUCCCCUCACAGGUGAAAAUCAUCACUCCCCAAUCAGUCACCAAUCCAAACAUCAAUCAGAAGACACACCUCCUCCUGUUUCCUACCCAAUCACUGUUCCUUUCCCUUUGUUUAAUCACCCUGUCAGUUGUUUGCUGUAGAGCUCAAUCUCUCUGUAAAUGCCAUACCUGUAGAUCUCUCUGUUUCACUCUCUUUAUGUAUUGAGCUAUCUUUUGUUUGAGCACGUCCAUAGCACUUUGUCAUCACCGUCCUAGCAUAUCCCUCUGAAUCCUGGAGAGUAGAGAAGAACAGCUCCCACCAGUUCAGCUUCUGUAAUGGUUGUCGUCGGGAGAAAGAGAGGACCAAGAUGCAGCGUAGUGUUAAUGGUCAGACACUGACUGAGUCUGGACCAGUAGUUAAUACGCCUGGAGAAUCCCACAAACUGACCUGUACAGCCUCUGGGUUCACAUUCAGUAGAUAUGAGAUGAGCUGGAUCAGAGAUGCUCCUGGGAAAGGACUGGAGUGUCCACUGUAAGGUCGUACUCACACAGGCUGAACAGUCCAGGGGAGCCCCAGGGGAUCCCUCAAACUCACAUGUGCCUGUAGUGGAUUCACUCUAAGCAGCACUAAUAUGUACUGGAUCCGCCAAGCAACUGGAAAAGGACUUGAAUGGAUCAUUAACUAUUAUUCUGACACUAACGAGCAAUGCCCCGGAUGUAAAGGGUUGAUUAACUGCAUUGAAGGACAGCUCUAAUUUCUAUCUGCACAUGAGCCAGUUGAAGUCAGAGGACUCUGCAGUGUAUUACUGUGCUAGAGACUCACUAUGGUUAAUCUAAUGAGAAUAGCCAGACAAAAACCAUCUGGUAGAGAAAGGAAAGAUGUGUACAAACACACAGACACAUGUAUAGUAUGACCAGUAGACCCUGACAAGGGGAAACAUGAUGAACAAUUCUAAUGAUGUAUCAAAUAAUAACACAAUGAUACACCAGUUAAAUACAUGGUGCUGGUGUUGUUGAUGCACCAACAGGGGCCCCUCUCUCUCUCUCCAUAUGAUUAAAAUAAAGACCGGUACUGAUGAAGACUUAAUGUAUUACAAGAAAAAAGUAUAAAAUGGACGUUGAUUCAAAGUACUUUUGUUUGUCAAAGUGAAAGUAGUGUCUUAAAUAUGUUUCAUCCACCACAAGUAUGAACUUAGGCUGUAAAUAGUGUUUCAUUCAGUUAUCUUUUACAUUAAAAAUAUCAUCUAAAGAGGGUCUCUGAGUUUUCAGAUUUCAAUCGUUGUGUCCAGUAAUAGUGGUAGAAACAUCUCUAGGAUGAACAUUGGAAACAGAAUGCAGCUGAUCUCAAUUUUGAGUCUCAUAGAAAAGGGUCUGAAU